This 441-nucleotide ribosomal RNA is filed under the name Anaplasma bovis. Its description in RNAcentral is "bacterial SSU rRNA". It matches the Rfam family "Bacterial small subunit ribosomal RNA", at positions 34 to 503 of the family's 1533-position model. Lineage: Bacteria; Pseudomonadati; Pseudomonadota; Alphaproteobacteria; Rickettsiales; Anaplasmataceae. The record is from RNAcentral.
CGCUGGCGGCAAGCUUAACACAUGCAAGUCGAACGGAUUGUUCUCGUAGCUUGCUAUGAGAACAAUUAGUGGCAGACGGGUGAGUAAUGCAUAGGAAUCUACCUAGUAGUAUAGGAUAGCCACUAGAAGUGGUGGGUAAUACUGUAUAAUCCCUGCGGGGGAAAGAUUUAUCGCUACAUGAUGAGCCUAUGUUAGAUUAGCUAGUUGGUGGGGUAAUGGCCUACCAAGGCAGUGAUCUAUAGCUGGUCUGAGAGGAUGAUCAGCCACACUGGAACUGAGACACGGUCCAGACUCCUACGGGAGGCAGCAGUGGGGAAUAUUGGACAAUGGGCGCAAGCCUGAUCCAGCUAUGCCGCGUGAGUGAGGAAGGCCUUAGGGUUGUAAAACUCUUUCAGUGGGGAAGAUAAUGACGGUACCCACAGAAAAAGUCCCGGCAAACUC